Molecule: non-coding RNA, 3326 nt
Organism: Osmia lignaria (orchard mason bee)
Lineage: Eukaryota; Metazoa; Arthropoda; Insecta; Hymenoptera; Megachilidae
Source: RefSeq, a predicted model, not a curated record
AAGGGCCGACGCGAUACGUACACCCUCGCUGCCGGUUUUCGGCAGUGACGACACGGCAGCCUGUACGUUCGUUCGUUCGUUCGUUCGUACGUCCGUCCGUUCGCUCGUUCGUGACGAGCCCAGAAUGCUGCUGGAGGGGGCUCCAGAGCCGGCAUGGCAUCCUCGUUGUAGGGUGGAAACGGUUGGUGGGGGAUUCAGAGAGGGCUAAAACGUGAAGCGAGUUGGUUGGAGGGAGAAGAGUCGAUCCCUGGGGCACUAGCAGGGGUACUAGGGGUUGAUAUCGAGGGGCAGGGCUAGGUGGGUGAAGACGGAGAGGGCGCAGUGGUCCCGCGACCAUCAAACCAACAACACCGUCCCGACACAAAACGGCGCAUCCUGCUGCGCCCCCUUCUUCUUCUGCUCCUGCUCCUGCUUCUGCUUCUGCUUCUUCUUCUUCAUCGUCGACGCGUUCCUGAUUCACCGUAGUCGACCACCUCGGCCACCUUCAAACCGUUACUUCCACCAUACGACGAGACUCGAUUCAUCUCGGAUCCAAGAGAUUACCAACAUCGAAUAUCAUCCAAUGGACCUUGGAUAGGAUCCCUGUACCGUUCUCCAGAACGGUGACCCUCCUACCGGAGGACGUUCGGAAACGUUCAACGAUUGAUCUACCGGAGGAUGAAGAGUUCACUGGCAGAUACCAGGUAGAACCAUGCGGUUCGUCGGCCCGGUACCAGGGUUCUCAUGAAUGGAGGAGGGUUCGUCAGGAUCGAUGAAGAGGGCGUGCCUUUCAGGGGAGGAUUGGUAUCCGUGACGUUUUCAACCCCACCUGAGAAGGGCGCAAACGGAGUGCACGUGCUCGAUUACGUCACAAGGAUAGCCGGCUUGUGACGAGAGUAAAGCCAUUCAGUGAUCCUGUCUCGUAGGGCAUUCGACGACCGGCCACGUUUCCGGUCGCACCGUUCUACGGACAUCGUUAUCCAGUGGUAAGGGUCGUUCGCUUUGUUUUUCAUCCAGACAAUCCAAAGAAGAGCAUUAGUAUCGUAGAUCUUCUCCUAAUUUUUUUUUAUAGUAACGUUUCUUUCGACUUUUCAAGUGUAACGGUGCACGAGGGUUAACUUUCCUUUUUGUAAUUUCCUUAGAACUAAACAGCAAGUAAAAAUGCCAAUUUUUCUCGUAGCACCUCCAGAAGUCCCAUAAGUGUCAUUCGCGUCCUUGAGAUUUUAUUUAAGUCCCGUAUCGCCACGCCCGGUUACACACCCCUGUUUCUUUGCACUUUGCUCGAGUUUCUAUAAGCACCUUCGUCUUUCGAAUGUUACCAGAGAAAUUCGUACUAGGAUACAUCGGCAAACGCCCCUGUCUCGUUCGAAAAAUUUCUUCGCUUCAUUUUCCAAAUUCGUUUCACGUUCUUCUCGCCCUUUUCACACGGUUAGAAAUGCAACUUGUCAUGUCCGCGUCGUAGAUGUCAAGGUGGGCAGCAUUUAAAUAGCUCCGUAUUAAAUUCCUCGUAUCCAUGGGUGUCUCCUGCAAGGGUUAAUAGGCUGAGAUCGGGCGACAAGAAGGGGAGGGUUUAAAUCGAUGGAUUAAAGCCCCCUUUCGGGGUAACCCUGACCCACAGUUCUGGCAGACGAGAUGCCAGCCCUACGAGGGAAUGCCUCAUUGUGCCAGGGUAAAGCACGGAUGUGAAUUGGCCUUUAGGGCGAUCGUAGCUUUACGAGCACGCGCUGGACCCCCCUUUGCGCACACACUCUCGCGUCGGCACACGCGCCCUUUAAAACGAGCAACACCCUUUUCGGACGUGUUUCGCACCCCGACGAAACCCCCCUCUGUCCUCCUCACGCUCCUUUUCUGGGACACUCGGCCAAAGAUACGCUCGGUCAGUCACCUUUACGACGACGAAAAUGAUGGGUUUCCGGUCUCGCGCGACAACGUUCCUCCCAUUGUCUUCGAUAUCUUUGUUCCUUGCAUUCGGUUAUAGUUCAAGUCUGUCCACUAAGGAUGCUCUGAAAUUUCAGGACACCAGAUAACAGAAAUUAUUCGUUUAUUUAUUUAAUUGUAUUCCUAUAGCGCGAGUGACCAUGGUUUAUUUGAAAAGUGCUCUGUUUUUAAAACGAUUGCAUGUCUUCGGAAUGAUAUAAUUUAUCAAGGGAAAAUAGAUGAGUGAGUGUAAUUAUUUAUUUCAUAAAAUGUAAAGUCUCGAACGAAUCGCUGUCCAUCGAUGAACAUCCAUCAGGAUCGGCGUUGAUAUUAGUCAGGGCAUCCCAUAUGUCACUUUCCACGGCUGGAAAAAGUACGGAAUGGGGUGGCUUUCUUGAUUAUGCGAAUAUCUACAGACAAUGGAACCCCAACGUCAGCUGCUCCCCGGUCCUGGGAUAUCACGGGGUCGUACACCCUCCGCGAAAUAAGCAAUAAGUUAUGGUGGGACUGACGAACCCCCCGCAGAACCACCCUACCCAUCGUCGACCCACACCCCCUUGGCUAUCCCCUAAUCGUGGGUCCAUAAGACGAGUGCUAUCGUUCCAUAGUACAGUUUCGACGCUCAUCAAACUCGGUUCACAUCGCGACGUGCGCCAUCAUCCUGUGUAUUAUUUUUCUUUUUUUUUUUUAACCUCGUGUGUCGGGUCAAUCAUGACCCAAACCUUGGGGAACAUACACAACGAUGCUUCGAUUAAAAUUAUGCAGUCAAAUUUUUCAUAUUAAAAAGGGAAUAAUAAUUGAAAGAAUUGAUCAAAAUUUAGAAAGUGUUACGAUUUGAAAUUGUCGACGCUUUGGAAUUCUGAUAGUUUGGUUCGUGACAUGGAAACUAUUUAUCUAUUAUAGUGUUGAAUAAUUAUAUUUCGUCUUUUUUUAUUUUUCAAAUUUUGUGACGAUAAUCCGUCGUUUGAUGUAGAGGACAUCGUGAACGACAGUGUACCUUACAGAGAUGUUAGACUCGAUCGUUGGUGGAUUAGCUGAAGAAGAAAUGCAAUCAAUACGGAGAGGUCGAUGGAAGGAAGAUUCGUGUGAGUCUGUGCUCCUUGCGUUCACUGCGGGCUUCCAUGUGCCAACUUUUCAAAAUUCAUAAGGCACGCGGUGAAUGCCAAGAGCGGACCAAAUUCAACGUUUUAUGAUUCUCAACGCUAGCGAAGACCACUGGAUUUCAUGGUCGAAAACGCGUUACCCUUGUGUUAUACGACAGAACUGUAGUGCAUUGAACGUGUAGACGACUCUCUGAAUCGACAAACACCAUGUACAGUAACAACCCCUCUGAAUACUUUGUACAUAUUUUGUAAUAAAAAAGAGCCACCGUUUUACCCCUUUGUUGUGAUGUACCUCCGUCUCUCAAUCAUUUAUCCAUCAUAACGCUA